UGUCUAGCCUUACCCGGGAUCGACGCCGCUGCAAUCGAUUUAGAGGGUCUAGUGAAGACCUACUAAAUCGACCACAGAGCGCUCUCCAGUCGACUCCAGUACUCCAGCUCCCCGAGAAGAAUAAGCAAAAGUGCCUGGGAAGUGUUUGCAGAGGAAGAGGGCCGCAGGGAGAGAGUCUGCAGCAACUCUGUGUGAGCAGAGAGAAGAGGAGGAGAAAACCCAAGAGGGAGAAUAAACACUGUGGUUCUAGCCCUGGAAGAAGGGUCACUCCUAGAAGAGUUGUGGUGAAAGAAAACCUGAGGGCAAAAUGUAACAUCUUCCGGUUUCUUAGGCUCUGGUUCAGUACCCAGCGCACUAGAUGCUGCUUCCCUGGAAGCCUGAGGCACAGCUGCAGUGUUCCUUACCUGCACCAUUGGUUUCACCAUUUUGGUAUCCAGGUCACUGAGAUUUAUUACUCAGGGAUUUAUUAUGCUGUGUGUAAUUCAACAAAAUCCAAACACUGUGUGCAUUCAGACAUGCAGUGUACAUGUGCAAUGCAAUGACUCUUUGCCCCAGCAACAGUAGCUGUCAAAUGUGGGCUUGCCAGAAAACAUAUCUGACAAUUAUGGCUUCCCCAGAAGCUCUUCAUAGCAAGUAUAGGUGUCCCAGAAACUCAAUUUGACGGCGUUAUCUUCAAAGAAACUCAAUUUGCUGAACAACUGUGAUGAUACAUGAGGCAAGGGUUAUCAGACAUCUCACAGUUCCCUGAGAUCCUUUUGGCACAUUUUUGAAAAAACAAAAAACAUAGUUUUUAUCAUCAUCAUUUCUAUCUGAUGUUAGAAUACGUACAGUAAUUAAUUUGGGAUCUAACUGACACCAAUACCUUUUGAGUGACAUUUUUGCUACAUUAAAAGUGCAACAGCUAUACAGACAAAACCAGUACUGACUGGUUGUCCUCGUUAUAGCUUGAGAAUACUUAGAAGAGACAGUGGUUUGACUAUUAUGUUUUAUUUAAAUAUUUUUGUGUG
Molecule: long non-coding RNA, 1007 nt
Organism: Chelonoidis abingdonii (Abingdon island giant tortoise)
Lineage: Eukaryota; Metazoa; Chordata; Testudines; Testudinidae
Source: RefSeq, a predicted model, not a curated record